This 497-nucleotide ribosomal RNA is filed under the name uncultured bacterium. Its description in RNAcentral is "partial 16S ribosomal RNA". It matches the Rfam family "Bacterial small subunit ribosomal RNA", at positions 28 to 507 of the family's 1533-position model. The record is from RNAcentral.
GAUGAACGCUGGCGGCGUGCCUAAUACAUGCCAGUCGAGCGAACAGACGAGGAGCUUGCUCCUCUGACGUUAGCGGCGGACGGGUGAGUAACACGUGGAUAACCUACCUAUAAGACUGGGAUAACUUCGGGAAACCGGAGCUAAUACCGGAUAAUAUAUUGAACCGCAUGGUUCAAUAGUGAAAGACGGUUUUGCUGUCACUUAUAGAUGGAUCCGCGCCGCAUUAGCUAGUUGGUAAGGUAACGGCUUACCAAGGCAACGAUGCGUAGCCGACCUGAGAGGGUGAUCGGCCACACUGGAACUGAGACACGGUCCAGACUCCUACGGGAGGCAGCAGUAGGGAAUCUUCCGCAAUGGGCGAAAGCCUGACGGAGCAACGCCGCGUGAGUGAUGAAGGUCUUCGGAUCGUAAAACUCUGUUAUUAGGGAAGAACAAAUGUGUAAGUAACUAUGCACGUCUUGACGGUACCUAUUCAGAAAGCCACGGCUAACUACGUG